GACGAACGCUGGCGGCGUGCUUAACACAUGCAAGUCGAACGGAAAGGCCCUGCUUUUGUGGUGUGCUCGAUUGGCGAUCGCGUGCGUAACACGUGAGUAACCUGCCCUUGACUUUGGUAUAACUUCAGGAAACUGGGGCUAAUACCGGAUAGGAGCUCCUGCUGCAUGGUGGGGGUUGGAAAGUUUCGGCGGUUGGGGAUGGACUCGCGGCUUAUCAGCUUGUUGGUGGGGUAGUGGCUUACCAAGGCUUUGACGGGUAGCCGGCCUGAGAGGGUGACCGGCGACAAUGGGACUAAGAUACGGCCCAGACUGGUACGGGAGGCAGCAGGGGGGAAUAUUGCACAAUGGGCGGAAGCCGGAUGAAGAAACGCCGCGGGCGGGAUGACGGCCUUCGGGGUGUAAACCGCUUUCGCCUGUGACGAAGCGUGAGUGACGGUAAUGGGUAAAGAAGCACCGGCUAACUACGUG
This 468-nucleotide ribosomal RNA is filed under the name uncultured bacterium. RNAcentral's name for it is "partial 16S ribosomal RNA". It matches the Rfam family "Bacterial small subunit ribosomal RNA", at positions 28 to 507 of the family's 1533-position model. The record is from RNAcentral.